UGUAGUCAGAUGUAGUUAGGUGUUGUUCAGGUGUAUUCGGGUGUAGCUUGGUUGUAGUCAGAUGUAGUUAGGUGUUGUUCAGGUGUAUUUAGGCGUAGCUUGGUUGUAGUCAGAUGUAGUUAGGUGUUGUUCAGGUGUAUUCGGGCGUAGCUUGGUUGUAGUCAGAUGUAGUUAGGUGUUGUUCAGGUGUAUUUAGGCGUAGCUUGGUUGUAGUCAGAUGUAGUUAGGUGUUGUUCAGGUGUAUUUGGGCGUAGCUUGGUUGUAGUCAGAUGUAGUUAGGUGUUGUUCAGGUGUAUUUGGGCGUAGCUUGGUUGUAGUCAGAUGUAGUUAGGUGUUGUUCAGGUGUAUUUGGGCGUAGCUUGGUUGUAGUCAGACGUAGUUAGGUGUUGUUCAGGUGUAUUUGGGCGUAGCUUGGUUGUAGUCAGAUGUAGUUAGGUGUUGUUCAGGUGUAUUCGGGUGUAGCUUGGUUGUAGUCAGAUGUAGUUAGGUGUUGUUCAGGUGUAUUCGGGCGUAGCUUGGUUGUAGUCAG
Molecule: long non-coding RNA, 529 nt
Organism: Epinephelus fuscoguttatus (brown-marbled grouper)
Lineage: Eukaryota; Metazoa; Chordata; Actinopteri; Perciformes; Serranidae
Exons: 3
Source: RefSeq, a predicted model, not a curated record